Molecule: ribosomal RNA, 486 nt
Filed under: uncultured bacterium
Lineage: Bacteria
Description: partial 16S ribosomal RNA
Rfam family: Bacterial small subunit ribosomal RNA
Source: RNAcentral
AUUGAACGCUGGCGGCAUGCCUUACACAUGCAAGUCGAACGGCAGCGCGGACUUCGGUCUGGCGGCGAGUGGCGAACGGGUGAGUAAUACAUCGGAACGUACCCUGUUGUGGGGGAUAACUAGUCGAAAGAUUAGCUAAUACCGCAUACGACCUGAGGGUGAAAGUGGGGGACCGGAAACGGCCUCAUGCAGCAGGAGCGGCCGAUGUCUGAUUAGCUAGUUGGUGGGGUAAAGGCCCACCAAGGCGACGAUCAGUAGCUGGUCUGAGAGGACGAUCAGCCACACUGGGACUGAGACACGGCCCAGACUCCUACGGGAGGCAGCAGUGGGGAAUUUUGGACAAUGGGGGCAACCCUGAUCCAGCAAUGCCGCGUGUGUGAAGAAGGCCUUCGGGUUGUAAAGCACUUUUGUCCGGAAAGAAAUCGCGCUGGUUAAUACCUGGCGUGGAUGACGGUACCGGAAGAAUAAGCACCGGCUAUCUACGUG